GACGAACGCUGGCGGCGUGCUUAACACAUGCAAGUCGAACGGACAGGCCCUGCUUUUGUGGGGUGCUCGAGUGGCGAACGGGUGAGUAACACGUGAGUAACCUGCCCUUGACUUUGGGAUAACUUCAGGAAACUGGGGCUAAUACCGGAUAGGAGCUCCUGCUGCAUGGUGGGGGUUGGAAAGUUUCGGCGGUUGGGGAUGGACUCGCGGGUUAUCAGCUUGUUUGUGGGGUAGUGGCUUACCAAGGCUUUGACGGGUAGCCGGCCUGAGAGGGUGACCGGCCACAUUGGGACUGAGAGACGGCCCAGACUCCUACGGGAGGCAGCAGUGGGGAAUAUUGCACAAUGGGCGGAAGCCUGAUGCAGCAACGCCGCGUGCGGGAUGACGGCCUUCGGGUUGUAAACCGCUUUCGCCUGUGACGAAGCGUGAGUGACGGUAAUGGGUAAAGAAGCACCGGCUAACUACGUG
This 468-nucleotide ribosomal RNA is filed under the name uncultured bacterium. RNAcentral describes it as "partial 16S ribosomal RNA". It matches the Rfam family "Bacterial small subunit ribosomal RNA", at positions 28 to 507 of the family's 1533-position model. The record is from RNAcentral.